CCUACGGGCGGCAGCAGUGAGGAAUAUUGGUCAAUGGACGGAAGUCUGAACCAGCCAUGCCGCGUGCAGGAAGACGGCUCUAUGAGUUGUAAACUGCUUUUGUACAAGGGUAAACCUGAACACGUGUAUUCAGCUGAAAGUACUGUACGAAUAAGGAUCGGCUAACUCCGUGCCAGCAGCCGCGGUAAUACGGAGGAUCCAAGCGUUAUCCGGAUUUAUUGGGUUUAAAGGGUGAGUAGGCGGAUUGAUAAGUAAGUGGUGAAAUGUCGAAGCUUAACUGGGAAAGUGCAAUUAAUACUGUAAGUCUGGAGGGUAGAGGAGGGAGGAGGAAUGUGUGGGGGAGCGGUGAAAUGCUUAGAGAGCACAAAGAA
RNAcentral lists this ribosomal RNA (371 nucleotides) under uncultured bacterium. RNAcentral's name for it is "partial 16S ribosomal RNA". It matches the Rfam family "Bacterial small subunit ribosomal RNA", at positions 338 to 706 of the family's 1533-position model. The record is from RNAcentral.